This 216-nucleotide unclassified non-coding RNA is filed under the name Ascomycota sp. RNAcentral describes it as "partial contains small subunit ribosomal RNA, internal transcribed spacer 1, and 5.8S ribosomal RNA". The stretch from base 1 to 47 matches the Rfam family "Eukaryotic small subunit ribosomal RNA", at positions 1785 to 1831 of the family's 1831-position model. Lineage: Eukaryota; Fungi; Ascomycota. The record is from RNAcentral.
AAAGUCGUAACAAGGUCUCCGUAGGUGAACCUGCGGAGGGAUCAUUAUCGAACGGCCUCCGUGCCUUCACAAACCCCAUCAAACCUGUGGACCGUUCAGAGAGAACGUGUUUCGGCGUCCCCUUCGGAGGGCGCCGCCUUCAUGCAGAUGAAUCGUCCUGUCUGAUUUUGAAACCAUGAGAAUUUAAAACUUUCAACAAAGGAUCUCUUGGCUCUC